RNAcentral lists this ribosomal RNA (401 nucleotides) under uncultured bacterium. RNAcentral describes it as "bacterial SSU rRNA". It matches the Rfam family "Bacterial small subunit ribosomal RNA", at positions 359 to 776 of the family's 1533-position model. The record is from RNAcentral.
GAAUCUUGCGCAAUGGGCGAAAGCCUGACGCAGCAACGCCGCGUGGGGGAUGAAGGCUCUCGGGUCGUAAACCCCUUUCAGCAGGGACGAAACUGACGGUACCUGCAGACGAAGCCCCGGCCAACUACGUGCCCGCAGCCGCGGUAACACGUAGGGGGCAAGCGUUGUCCGGAUUUAUUGGGCGUAAAGAGCUCGUAGGUGGUUCGGUAAGUCAGGUGUGAAACCUCCAGGCUCAACCUGGAGACGCCACUUGAUACUGCUGUGACUGGAGUCCGGUAGGGGAGCGUGGAAUUCCUGGUGUAGCGGUGAAAUGCGCAGAUAUCAGGAGGAACACCAGCGGCGAAGGCGGCGCUCUGGGCCGGUACUGACACUGAGGAGCGAAAGCGUGGGUAGCAAACAGG